This 497-nucleotide ribosomal RNA is filed under the name uncultured bacterium. RNAcentral's name for it is "partial 16S ribosomal RNA". It matches the Rfam family "Bacterial small subunit ribosomal RNA", at positions 28 to 507 of the family's 1533-position model. The record is from RNAcentral.
GAUGAACGCUGGCGGCGUGCCUAAUACAUGCAAGUCGAGCGAACAGACGAGGAGCUUGCUCCUCUGACGUUAGCGACGGACGGGUGAGUAACACGUGGAUAACCUACCUAUAAGACUGGGAUAACUUCGGGAAACCGGAGCUAAUACCGGAUAAUAUAUUGAACCGCAUGGUUCAAUAGUGAAAGACGGUUUUGCUGUCACUUAUAGAUGGAUCCGCGCCGCAUUAGCUAGUUGGUAAGGUAACGGCUUACCAAGGCAACGAUGCGUAGCCGACCUGAGAGGGUGAUCGGCCACACUGGAACUGAGACACGGUCCAGACUCCUACGGGAGGCAGCAGUAGGGUAUCUUCCGCAAUGGGCGAAAGCCUGACGGAGCAACGCCGCGUGAGUGAUGAAGGUCUUCGGAUCGUAAAACUCUGUUAUUAGGGAAGAACAAAUGUGUAAGUAACUAUGCACGUCUUGACGGUACCUAAUCAGAAAGCCACGGCUAACUACGUG